GCAAAUAGCUUAUUUGGUCUUCCCCCUUAUUUCACAAAAUCAUAUUAUUACAAAGUAAAUAGAUAUGCAAAUACAGCAUACAAUCUUUCAGUCUUACAAUAACUAACAACAAUACAAUACCUUUUAAAUUACAAUUCCGUUCCUGUGUUUUGGUCUAUUUUCUGUACUGGUCAAGUAAUGAUUUCUUUAAUCUAUUUUUGAACUGAAUGACAUUAUGGCUCUGUUUGAUGUCAUUGUUCAGUACAUUCCAUAAGGUCACCCCACAAACUUAAAGAGGCCGGCUAGAUUAUUACAGUUUUUCUCAAUUGCUAAAACACUAAAACCCAUUGGCUGAACAAAGUUCUCAGUUGCCUGAUCUCAUUUAGCUAAUUGUGCAGUCUGUUGUCAAUACCUUAAACCAUUUCACAUGGUCAAACGCAAUUUGCAGAUCUCACUUAGACUUUUCAGCAAAACUCUAAACACAUUCUCAUUCUCAAAACACAUUCUGCACUCUAAUGCACAUGUCAUCCAUACUGGUAAACACAAGUGGCAGCAGUCAAAUACAAAUAGAGAACACAUGUCAUUGAUUGAACACAACCACUCAAAAUUGAUUUCACUUGUUUCAAAUGAUGUGACACAACCAAUAUAAGCCAGUUCAGAGAGCAAACAGGUUGUUGAAUGUUCAUAUCAACAAAGAACAAGCAUUACAGUAUCACAGAGACAAAGGACAAGUUUGUGAGAUGCAGGGUACAGUACUGUAAAAAUAGGGGUACAAGGAGGAGGAAGAA
Long non-coding RNA from Sander lucioperca (pikeperch), 767 nucleotides. RefSeq lists it as uncharacterized. The transcript is spliced from 2 exons. The record is from RefSeq and is a predicted model, not a curated record. Lineage: Eukaryota; Metazoa; Chordata; Actinopteri; Perciformes; Percidae.